UUGACCUCGAAUCAGGUAGGGAUACCCGCUGAACUUAAGCAUAUCAAUAAGCGGAGGAAAAGAAACCAACCGGGAUUACCUCAGUAACGGCGAAUGAAGCGGUAACAGCUCAAAUUUGAAAUCUGGCUCCCUGCGGAGUCCGAGUUGUAAUUUGUAGAAGAUGCUUUGGGUGCGUGGCCCGGUCUAAGUUCCUUGGAACAGGACGUCGUAGAGGGUGAGAAUCCCGUAUGCGGCCGGGGCGCCUGCCCGUGUAAAGCUCUUUCGACGAGUCGAGUUGUUUGGGAAUGCAGCUCAAAAUGGGUGGUAAAUUUCAUCUAAAGCUAAAUAUGGGCCAGAGACCGAUAGCGCACAAGUAGAGUGAUCGAAAGAUGAAAAGCACUUUGGAAAGAGAGUUAAACAGUACGUGAAAUUGUUGAAAGGGAAGCGCUUGCAACCAGACUUGGGCGUCGCUGAUCAUCCAAAGUUUUCUUUGGUGCACUCGGCGAGGCACAGGCCAGCAUCGGUUGGGGUGGUGGGAGAAAGGUCGUGGGAACGUAGCUCCUUUCGGGGAGUGUUAUAGCCUGCGACGCAAUACCGCCUACUCCGACCGAGGACCGCGCUUCGGCUAGGAUGCUGGCGUAAUGGUUGUAAGCGACCCGUCUUGAAACACGGACCAAGGAGUCUAACAUCUAUGCGAGUGUUUGGGUGCAAAACCCAUACGCGUAAUGAAAGUGAACGUAGGUGAGAACCCUUCGAGGGGGCAUCAU
Molecule: ribosomal RNA, 746 nt
Filed under: Phyllactinia saxaouli
Lineage: Eukaryota; Fungi; Ascomycota; Leotiomycetes; Helotiales; Erysiphaceae
Description: eukaryotic LSU rRNA
Rfam family: Eukaryotic large subunit ribosomal RNA
Source: RNAcentral